Molecule: long non-coding RNA, 1880 nt
Organism: Temnothorax curvispinosus
Lineage: Eukaryota; Metazoa; Arthropoda; Insecta; Hymenoptera; Formicidae
Exons: 2
Source: RefSeq, a predicted model, not a curated record
GAAAUACAAGAGAUGUCGAUAACUUUUGGAUAUGGCUACAGCCAUCUAUUGUGUUAAUAAUAUAAUCUUGCGGUUCCAUGAACGAAUACUAGAUGGCAGGUCGUUUCCGCCUAGUAACUAUUGCAGGCGGACGCGCGAGCAACGCAACGCACCGAGUUCCGCUCACGCUAGCAUCACGUGACAAGAGGGCGAGUGGAAGGGAUGCGCAAGCACGAACGUGCAGAGAGACGAUCCCGGCCAUUCUCGACUAUUCGGUCAAACGUGAGACAGUUCGAGUCACGUAUCGGGUAUUCUGCCACUAGAAUCUUUUAUCGAGAACAUGUUCAAGUUCUGUUCAAUACUUCUCGCUUGUACCGUACCAAUUAUUCAAGGUAUAUUAUUGCCCUUGUCGUUGCUCGUGUCGUUUUCAACGCUAAUAUCGUCUUUAAUGCUUGUGUUGUAUCAAUCGCUCAUGUUGUAAUGUAUUUCGGUGCCGUGAAUUCUUACACGAGUCCGUAAAGAUCAGUUAUUAUUCAAAUUACGAAGAACGUGUUCGAACAUGUAAACGAAGAAAGAAGAACGACGUGUAUUCCGGGCUCAGCCGAGCCUUUACUUGACGGUGGACAUUCGAGCGAUAUAUAUUGGAAAUCAAGAGCGGCCAUCAUUAACUUCGUUCCUUUCACGUGGCGAGACGAAAUAGCCGCCAUUAUUCUGAUUAUUUGGCUCGCUUACAGCGAAUGAGUUUCCCACUCUCAGUGGAUGAUUUUCCGUACAAAUAAAUGUCGGAUUAUCUAUGAUUAAUUGGUGGAUGCUGCAGAUUCCACAAUAAGGAUAUAACGUUAUUUUCCUAUGAUUAUCCUCAAAGAAGGAUUCUCACGAUUAAUUCUGAUUAAUAAGAAAAGGAGAUAAAUUCUUAUCUCGGGACGUAAAUUCAAUGGAAUUCCAAUUAAUACUUCUCAUUGAUGCGCAUACAAGGAUUAAAGUUAUCCUGAAGUUACAUUCCUUGUGUUUCAUAUAUUAAGACUUAUAUUUCGUUUACUUUAUAAAAUUCUCUAGCGUUUACUGUAUAUAAUGAACGUGAAGUUAAUUCGAUAUAUGAUUACUGUUUAAAAUAAUACCUCGACUACUCGAUACGUUCUAAUAACAAUUCUGAACUACGCGAACGAAUAAGUUCUUUUGCUCAAUUACAUUAUGUAAAAUUAUUGUUGCGAUCUUUCCGUAUCUCUUUCGAUUAAUUCUAAGGAUAUAUGCUUCAAUUAUUCACUGCAUUUAUCAACGUAUAUGGAAUAAUUAUAUUUACUAAUUGCAAGAAAGAAGUUUCAAAGUUUAUCAAAGGGACAAUUCCUACCAGACAGUUAAGUUAUAAUAUUAUCUAAUUAGUUCCUACAGAAUUCUUUUAUUUAUAAUACUUCUCAUUUUCAGAUUUAACGUAUUCAGAAAUCUUUGGUUUCAUUAUUCCAUACUCGUUAUCUUAACAUGUAUUAAUUGUAUUAUCCUCUUUAUAUGAGUCUUGUAUUUAUUAUAAUUGAUGUGUUUGCCUCGAAGAUAUUCCCUUGCAAAAUUUCUAUAAAAGGAAGAGACCAUUUAUUUCAUUUAAUCAUUCAGAAUAUUUAAUACAUUGAAUAUUCGUUCAUACUUUAUACCUUGAAUUUAUUUGAAACAUUUCGUAAAGAGAUCUCAGACUUAACUUAUUAUUGGUAAUAAGGUUCUGUUAAACGAAGGGAAUAUUUUCUUUAAAAUAUUUUAUAUUAUCUAUGUACAAUUUUGUUUAUGAAUACUGAGAAGGUUUUAGGGCAGUUUCCCUUCUCCUAUGCAACAAAUGUUGGUAUUCUUUAUAUAGUUCUGCCCACUUUCAACUUUUCUGGAUUACGCACUCAUUAAAUCAAUUGUUCUAUUUUUUA